AAUAAGUGUAGUUUUGUACUAUUCAUGUUCAACGUUUGACCGUUCGUCUUAUUUGAAAAUUUUUUAAAAUUUUUUUAUGAUUAGUAUUUUUAUUGCUAUUAGAUGAUAAAACAUGAAUAGUACUUUAUGUGUGACUAAAUAUUUUCAAAUUUUUCACAAUUUUUUCAAAUAAGACGGACUGUUAAACGUUGGGCACGGAUAUCCACGGCUGCACUUAUU
This is a microRNA precursor of Oryza sativa Japonica Group (Japanese rice), 219 nucleotides long. It matches the Rfam family "MIR812 microRNA precursor family". The record is from Rfam. Lineage: Eukaryota; Viridiplantae; Streptophyta; Magnoliopsida; Poales; Poaceae.